CCGCGGUAAUACGGAGGGAGCUAGCGUUGUUCGGAAAUACUGGGCGUAAAGCGCACGUAGGCGGAUCGUUAAGUCGGGGGUGAAAUCCCGGGGCUCAACCCCGGAACUGCCUUCGAUACUGGCGAUCUUGAGUCCGGAAGAGGUGAGUGGAACUCCUAGUGUAGAGGUGGAAUUCGUAGAUAUUAGGAAGAACACCAGUGGCGAAGGCGGCUCACUGGUCCGGUACUGACGCUGAGGUGCGAAAGCGUGGGGAGCAAACAGG
RNAcentral lists this ribosomal RNA (262 nucleotides) under uncultured bacterium. RNAcentral's name for it is "partial 16S ribosomal RNA". It matches the Rfam family "Bacterial small subunit ribosomal RNA", at positions 515 to 776 of the family's 1533-position model. The record is from RNAcentral.